This 1228-nucleotide ribosomal RNA is filed under the name Escherichia coli. Its description in RNAcentral is "partial 23S ribosomal RNA". It matches the Rfam family "Bacterial large subunit ribosomal RNA", at positions 1 to 1268 of the family's 2925-position model. The record is from RNAcentral. Lineage: Bacteria; Pseudomonadati; Pseudomonadota; Gammaproteobacteria; Enterobacterales; Enterobacteriaceae.
GGUUAAGCGACUAAGCGUACACGGUGGAUGCCCUGGCAGUCAGAGGCGAUGAAGGACGUGCUAAUCUGCGAUAAGCGUCGGUAAGGUGAUAUGAACCGUUAUAACCGGCGAUUUCCGAAUGGGGAAACCCAGUGUGUUUCGACACACUAUCAUUAACUGAAUCCAUAGGUUAAUGAGGCGAACCGGGGGAACUGAAACAUCUAAGUACCCCGAGGAAAAGAAAUCAACCGAGAUUCCCCCAGUAGCGGCGAGCGAACGGGGAGCAGCCCAGAGCCUGAAUCAGUGUGUGUGUUAGUGGAAGCGUCUGGAAAGGCGCGCGAUACAGGGUGACAGCCCCGUACACAAAAAUGCACAUGCUGUGAGCUCGAUGAGUAGGGCGGGACACGUGGUAUCCUGUCUGAAUAUGGGGGGACCAUCCUCCAAGGCUAAAUACUCCUGACUGACCGAUAGUGAACCAGUACCGUGAGGGAAAGGCGAAAAGAACCCCGGCGAGGGGAGUGAAAAAGAACCUGAAACCGUGUACGUACAAGCAGUGGGAGCACGCUUAGGCGUGUGACUGCGUACCUUUUGUAUAAUGGGUCAGCGACUUAUAUUCUGUAGCAAGGUUAACCGAAUAGGGGAGCCGAAGGGAAACCGAGUCUUAACUGGGCGUUAAGUUGCAGGGUAUAGACCCGAAACCCGGUGAUCUAGCCAUGGGCAGGUUGAAGGUUGGGUAACACUAACUGGAGGACCGAACCGACUAAUGUUGAAAAAUUAGCGGAUGACUUGUGGCUGGGGGUGAAAGGCCAAUCAAACCGGGAGAUAGCUGGUUCUCCCCGAAAGCUAUUUAGGUAGCGCCUCGUGAAUUCAUCUCCGGGGGUAGAGCACUGUUUCGGCAAGGGGGUCAUCCCGACUUACCAACCCGAUGCAAACUGCGAAUACCGGAGAAUGUUAUCACGGGAGACACACGGCGGGUGCUAACGUCCGUCGUGAAGAGGGAAACAACCCAGACCGCCAGCUAAGGUCCCAAAGUCAUGGUUAAGUGGGAAACGAUGUGGGAAGGCCCAGACAGCCAGGAUGUUGGCUUAGAAGCAGCCAUCAUUUAAAGAAAGCGUAAUAGCUCACUGGUCGAGUCGGCCUGCGCGGAAGAUGUAACGGGGCUAAACCAUGCACCGAAGCUGCGGCAGCGACGCUGAUGCGUUGUUGGGUAGGGGAGCGUUCUGUAAGCCUGCGAAGGUGUGCUGUGAGG